Molecule: ribosomal RNA, 460 nt
Filed under: uncultured bacterium
Lineage: Bacteria
Description: partial 16S ribosomal RNA
Rfam family: Bacterial small subunit ribosomal RNA
Source: RNAcentral
CCUACGUGAGGCAGCAGUGAGGAAUAUUGGUCAAUGGACGAAAGUCUGAACCAGCCAAGUCGCGUGAAGGAUGACUGCCCUAUGGGUUGUAAACUUCUUUUAUCUGGGAAUAAAAUGUUCCACGUGUGGGAUUUUGUAUGUACCAUCUGAAUAAGGAUCGGCUAACUCCCUGCCAGCAGCCGCGGUAAUACGGCGGAUCCGGCCGUUAUCCGGAUUUAUUGGGUUUAAAGGGAUAGUAGGUGGAUUGUUAAGUCAGUCGUGAAAGUUUGCGGCUCAACCGUAAAAUUGCAGUUGAAACUGGCAGUCUUGAGUACAGUAGAGGUAGGCGGAAUUCGUGGUGUAGCGGUGAAAGGCUUAGAUACCACGAAGAAUUCCGAUUGCGAAGGCAGCACACUGGACUGCAACUGACACUGAGGCUCGAAAGUGUGGGUAUCAAACAGGAUUAGAUACCCGAGUAGUC